GCUCCUCCUGGGCAGGAACCACCCGGCUCGGCGGCGGAGGGUGGGCCGCCGUCACCUGACCGCCCGCCCCCGCCCCCCGCGAGUAAGGGGCGGUGGUAGCGUCUGCUCGCUUACAAAUGGCCCCUCCCGCCCCGCUCGCCCGCUCGCUCGGGCUCGGCGCGGACCCGCCCGGGCGCACUCCUGCCGCCGGUUCCCAGUGUCCCGCCGCCCUGCCCGGAGCCGGCCGGCGGUCCCCGGCACCCAGCGCGGAGGCUCGCCCGUGGAGGUCGUGACGGGAGGCUGGACCGCGGUGGCGCGCGGCUCGCCUACCGUCAGGUGUUCCUUUGAUACAGUGGAUGGUGACUCUGCUCUUCUGCCUGCGAGUGGUUCAAAAUGUCUUCAGCAUCUGGAGGGAGUACCAAGGUGGGAGUUUUACAGUAAAUAUUGAAACCCCUCCUGCGAAGAUGAUAUGAGAGGCGGUUCCGCAAAGCAGCCCUGUCUGGCCAGAGAGCUUCUGGGCAUUUCCUAAGACUCAGUCUUCUGGGACUUCUUCCUGAUCAAAAGGAUUCUUCAAUUUCAAAAUCAAAGUAAAAUCUCUGGCAAAAAAACACCGAAAUCGAGUUGAGCAUCUCUGUCAGCAAAUUCCGCUUCCCAGAGAACUGUCUCUACAGGCAGAAACACAGGUGUGGCCAAGGAGGAGAAUUGCCGUUGUCACCAUUUUACGGAUGAGGAAACUGUCGGCUGAUCAUUGGAAGUCUGUCUCACUGACAUUUACCCUUCCACCCCAGGUACCCAGGAGGUCUCUGGAUUGAAGGAGGCUGGACAUCCUGUUUUGUAUCCAGAAUAAGGACGGAGAGGCUCAACAGUGCCUACAGAGAGGAGAAUGCAGACCCGUGGUGACAGAGGCCUUAGAACCUUGCAGGGGAACGUCCCCGGAGCUCCACGGCCGGGAAGUGAAGGAGGAAACAGGACUUUCAAAACAGAAAAAGUAGGUCUGCUGAGAACCAGAGCUGCCCAGUCAGGCCUCUGAGGCCUCAAUGCCAGUUUAAGGUUUUCAAACAACAACUUCUUUUCUUCCCUGAGAAAAACUGCUUGGGCAAGCUUCCCCAGUGUGCAUUUUUGUCUGACAAGAAAGCAUUUUGUCCUCUGUCAAUGGAAAUGCCAAGAACAAAGCAAGAGGGGCGUUGCCGGGAGGCAGUCAAAGCAGCUCCCCUGACCCAGGCGCUGGAGGCCCAGGCCCCCGGGUCUCAGGUGCGCCCAGAAGGACCCUCCCUGGGGCCUGGGCAGGCGGCAGGAGAGAAAACGUCAGUGACCGCAUGGACGCCUCGGCUCUGGUCAGUGGGUGAGGGGGCUUUGGGAGAAAAUGGAGACAGGUCUGUCUUGUUCAUUUAUUAAUAGGCAUUUGUCACACACCAGGUUAGGAAAUAAUCCUCCCAUUGUCAACGUGGCUUAAUCCUGCUCUUGUCAAUAUGUCUUCCGGGGUCUUGCAGGGAAGGGAGGUGCUUUCUCAAAAGAAAUCCUUUUCAGAGAUAAAUGCAGAUGUGCCUCUCUUGAUACAGUGGGCCUGUCCAUGCAAGGAAGUAUGUGCGUCUCCCACGUGAUAUUCAAGGCAUCAAGGAAAUGUGCUUUGUAACGGAGUCCUCGAUCUCUUGAAGAAGUCACUCCUUAGGUGGUUUCUGUAUAAAUAGAGGCUUCCGCCUACUGGGUUUCUUUAAAACAAGGGUUUUUUCCCCCUGCAUUUCGCUUGGUUCCUAAAAUAGUAACAAACAGCAUUAUUCAGGGAAGGUCAAGAAGCUGACAACCCUUUUGGAAGCUUUUAGUGCCACAAGCCUUAGCCUCCUCUGAUGAAUGCCUGUGGGAUUGUCACCUAUCAUCAUCCCUCACCCCCACACACACCCUCACAAGAAACCUAGGAACUGAGAUGCCCGCAGUGUUUUUAAAAAUUCAACAACCCUCAAGCGUUUUCAGUUUCAGCGAAGAAUUAGAAAAGCAGAGUCCAGAGAGCAGAGUCAAGAGCAGGUCUCUGUCGGUUGUAUGAAAUUGUCACGGUGAAAUCCUUUUGAGUAAAGAAACCCGGGUGCUUUCUAUUCCUCUGACGGGACACGAGUGCUGAGUGCAACCCUAGAACCACCGAAGAGGCCGGGAUUAGCCAACUUUUUUCGGUCUUUUUUUUUUUUUUUCUUCUUUUUAAUUAAUUGAUGUUAGAGUAGGGUUGCUUUACAAUAGCCAACUUUGAUUUGGCUAAAAAAGAACAGGAAACACACACACACUCACACACCCCUAACUAAGGCACCAAAUUCACGCAGUAGAAAGGAAGAAAUUAUAAACUCCCUCCACGGUGCUAAACAGCAUUCGCGGCAAAAGCGAAUGUUCUGACAGUGAAUCAACCACUGAAAAAAGCUUCCUGCAGCACAUGGCACAGAGCAGCCUCCUCAGACGUCGGGUGCUUAUUAUUGUGUUCCCAGCCCUUAUUUUCCUCCCACCCCUCCCCGCAGAAGACCGCACUCAGAUACAGCAAUCCAUCCCAAGGAGAAGCUUCGCCACUGAGAGAUGAAUCAUGAGCGGGGAUGUGUGAUUGAUCCUGCCGCCCGAAAAGCAGUGGGAAGCUGAGGCUGCCUUUUAUCCAGUAAGCAAAGUUCAGAGCUGUUUGCAUUCUGCCGGGUAAGCAGGGGUCUCUCAAGACCUGAGCUGCAUGGGCUGCACUCGGCAGGAAUUCUCGCCAAGGCAGUGCACAGGUGCGCCUGGGUGGACUCACCUGAGCCACAGAGGCCAGAGGGUCAGAACUGCUCAUUUUUGCAAAUAGCCUGAUUCCAUCAUGUUUUAAUUAGCAUGAAGUAUUGCAAACCCAUUCUGUUCAAGAUGUUGGCAAGUGAAAACCGGAUUAAGAUCUAUGCAGUAAGCUUAGGAUAUAUAGGGUUUUCCUAAUCACUAGAGAAAUGCUAGAGGCUGGAAUUUCCUAAUUUUUGCAGAGAAGGAGUCGAGGGGUUUCUUUUGGCCAUAUCCCGCCCCCCCCAAAAAAACCUAAUUACAGGAUUUAUAAAGAAUAAAAAUAAAAGGAAGGGGAAAAUACUGCAUUUGGCAUAGCUGUACAUUGGAACAAAUAAAUGCUAAAGGGAGUUGGUAAUUCAGGAGGUCCACCGUGGACUCAGACGCUCGGCAGAAGCAACGGCAUCACACCAAAGAUGUAUGAUGUAGCCUAGUGGCCUGGAGAGCCAGCAGCCCUGUGCUCAGACCACAGCUCUGCAGCCACUUUCUAGCUGCAACUCUCGGUAAGUUCAUCGUCAUUUCCGAGCCUCUAUUUUCAUUUUCCUUUUUCUUUUUUUUCCUUAAGUCACUUAGCACUUACAUUUCUCCAUUUCCUUAAAGUGGGAAAUCAGUAAACAGUACCGUCUCACCUCAACUGGAAUUCAACGAGAUAAUGAAUGUGGAGUAUCAAGCCUGAUAACAAGGACAAAGUAAGUUCUCAAGUUACUUUAUUAUUAGACUUUAUUAGAAGAUCUAGCAGGAUCCAGGAGUGUGUUCAGUGGCUGGGUUGCCAAGGAAAGCAUAUAAUACAGCUCUUCCCAGUUGGAAAAUUCUGUUCACAUCCGGGGCAAAAAUCCUGUCCUGACACAUCCAGUAUCAAAUAGGUUGAAUUCUCCACCCUCGAGGUCAUCACGAAAACGUCCGAGUGCUCACGUCAGAAUGCGCGUUCAGCGCUGUCCAAAUACCAGGGCAGUUUUAAACCUACACGUGCACACUGUCAUUUACAAACCACUCACACGUCUUAGCAGGGCUCAGACUAAAGGCUAAUGCACAGACUAAUGCGAAAAGGGCUAUGGGGAGCUGAGGACGUUUGGGGUAAGAAAUGAACCAGGGAGAACUAUGGUUUAACAACAGUGAGCGUGGCCUCAUCUCCUGAGCUUGUGUUGGAAGCCAGACCCUAUGCUACUUUCCACGCAUGAUCUCGCGUAAUUCUCACGACAUCUCCAUGCAAGCUGAGGGGCGACGAGGAGGCAGAUGGAUAGGGAAUGAAGAGGGAAACCUGGCACCUUGCGGGAGACUCCAUAACCAUAAUAGCCGUUACGGGGCCAUUACUGUGUUCUUAGCAGUGUGCCAAGCACCUCCCACGUGCUUAUUCACUUAGUCCUCACCUGCCAUGUAGAACCAAGUCCCGCCAUUUCUAGUGUCAGGAUCGUAAGUCUCAAAGGUUGACUACCUGGCCCAGAGUCACAUAGUAACAGGCUGGGACUCAGUCCCUGGGAAUCUAAUCACAGAUCCUGUGCUUGUCCACCUAGAACCCCUCUUCCUGCCCACCAGCGCUGCCAGGGGUAACACAGAGACCAGUGGUAGGGGGACAGGAAAGGGCUCCUCAAAGCCAGUUUCCUGUACUAGCCGGCAAAAGAGUGGAGUUUACAUCUGAAGACCCUAAAAGGUCCAUGUGGAAUUUGACCAUGUACUUCACAUGUGUGCUACAGUAAGCUGUAAAUGACAGAGUUUUGACGAUUUUCAGUCUGUGCUCACAUUAGCUUCCAUUUACCCAGUGCCUGCUCUGCGUGUGCCAGCACCUUUCUGAGUGAUUAGCAUGUAUUAAGUCCCUGAACCCUCAAAGCGAUCGUAUGCGGCAGGUUCUGCCCAUUCUACAGAUGAGGAAAGGACUUUGCCUGAGGUUGCAGAGGUAGAAGUGGUCCAGCCGGGGUUUGAACCUGGGCGAAUCUGGGUACAAGGCCACAGACUAGAAGAGCGAUACACCGUGGGGCCUGAGAUGCUUCUCCCCUGUGGCAGGUGGAUACCUGGCAAAGGUGUUUGCAGGUAAGGAUGCACCUCUUCUAAUAAUUCAUGUGAAUGAUUCCACUGGACGCUAAAAGUGGUGGCACCAGAAAUACCCGCUGAUACGGAUGCCCUCCAUUCAGUCAUCUUCAAGGCCCAGGGAAAAGCAGUCUUGAGCGGAUUUUCCUGUUUUAACCCUUCCCGUUUAGCACAGUCAGCUGACGGCUGGGUGAGGCUGCUGUAAAGAGUUUGGAGGCCCGCUGAGAGCCCCGACAUCCUUGUCUGAAAGACACUGGCAUUGGCAGCUGUCCAAGCACUGUGGCUGACUUUCAGACCAUUUAAUUGAAACCAUAUUUUUUAAAAGAAGGGAAGGGGUGGGUGCCAGAGCAGGAGAAAGAUCUUGGCAAAAAACCUUGUGUGUGCUGUUUCCACCAUCGGAUUGAGCAGACAGGGCCACAAAGCUGAUACAACAGGAUUAGCAAAAUUGCAUUGUUGGCCAUAGGCACGGCGUGACAUGUGCUACAGCGAAGGCAUUUGGCAGGAUUAACCUGCCAGGGAUAAAGAUACAGCAGACAAGGGGCAGAAUUAAUGGACUGGCAUGACCAAAGUGGGGAAAUCUAUUUACAUGCAAUAUUAACUGUGCUAAUAAACUCCGGGCUAGGCUCGGCAGGCCCGGCAGUCCUCUCUGAACCAGGAUUUUUUUAUUUUAAAGCCCACCUGGAGUCUUCCAGCGAAGAUGGGCUAACGCAAGCGGGCUUCCCAGGUUGCCUUUAGGCUCACGUUUGCCAUCGUCCUAGAAGAGUUGUGCCGUCUUACAUAACCGUAGCAGCAUUCUGACCAUGCAGAAUGAUCCUAAUGCCUCAGGGUUUUGGUGCCAAAGGGUCCUCCAUUUAGAGGGUGACUGUCUCCGAAAAACAAUGAAGAAACAUUAAGUACAACACACUCUACAAAAUACCUACUUGGAAUGGCUGGUUUUGCCUGAUUUGUGUAUUCUGAUUGCCUGAAAGUCAGGGCGAGACGAGGGUGAGCAAGGAGGACAGCCCAGGACAUAAAUUUUCAGAAGGUGCUCAUGGGUCCCGCUCCUAUAAGAGCAGGUUCAGCCUCUGAGUGAGUGCCUCACGCCCCUCACCCUGGUCCUGCUGAAAGUGACCGUGGGAAAAAUGUAAGAUACACCCAUUCAAAACGCACGUGCGCUUAAAUACACUCACACGGUCACUAAUGCACAGCUGAGUGUUGAGGGGAGGGCAGGGCCAGGAAGAGGCUGGGCAGGUGAGAGGGAAGGGAACCAAUAAAGAUGGAGUUAUCCUCCGGGUUACUGCUGUGGGCCGGUGGGGACCUCUGCCAGCCUAUGUGGGGCAGGAGAGCAGGUAUUUUUCCACCAGCUCCCAUGCAUCACUGAUGAGGGAUGUUGACUCCUUUUUUUUUUUUUUUUGCGGCAC
Delphinapterus leucas (beluga whale) is the source of this 6167-nucleotide non-coding RNA. NCBI's taxonomy places the organism in Eukaryota, Metazoa, Chordata, Mammalia, Artiodactyla, Monodontidae. The record is from RefSeq and is a predicted model, not a curated record.